CCUACGGGUGGCAGCAGUAGGGAAUAUUGCUCAAUGGGGGAAACCCUGAAGCAGCAACGCCGCGUGGAGGAUGAAGGUUUUCGGAUCGUAAACUCCUUUUGUUAGAGAAGAUAAUGACGUUAUCUAACGAAUAAGCACCGGCCAACUCCGUGCCAGCAGCCGCGGUAAUACGGAGGGUGCAAGCGUUACUCGGAAUCACUGGGCGUAAAGAGCGCGUAGGCGGGAUAGCAAGUCAGAUGUGAAAUCCUAUGGAUUAACCAUAGAACUGCAUUUGAAACUGUUAUUCUAGAGUAUGGGAGAGGUAGGUGGAAUUCUAGGUGUAGGGGUAAAAUCCGUAGAUAUCAAGAGGAAUACUCAUUGCGAAGGCGACCUGCUAGAACAUAACUGACGCUGAUGCGCGAAAGCGUGGGGAGCAAACAGGAUUAGAUACCCGAGUAGUC
RNAcentral lists this ribosomal RNA (440 nucleotides) under uncultured bacterium. Its description in RNAcentral is "partial 16S ribosomal RNA". It matches the Rfam family "Bacterial small subunit ribosomal RNA", at positions 338 to 795 of the family's 1533-position model. The record is from RNAcentral.